UUUCAACCCAAGCCAGUGGGACAAGGUGCAAAACAUUUUCUUCAUUAAAUAUCCCUUUUACAAAUACAGCCUCAAGUUUUAAAGGAAUAAGCUGUUUGAGGAAGAGUGAAGUUUGAAAUACACUAAAUGCUUUACAUCUUUCCAUCCUCGCUUAGUGGUCAUCAGAGUUUCUAGUGUCUCUUAAGGAUUAACAGAAAUCUCUCUAGUAGCAGUCCUUGUCACCUGGAAGCCCCUGUUGCCUGCCUGGGCAGCUAGUAAUAGGAGUAGAGAUAUUUGUAUGCACUUGAGACCACAUGGGUUUUGUCUUUCCAAUACAGCAUCCAGAAGAUUUCAUCCACCUCACCUAUUUAUCCUUUUUUAUGCUUUUAGGGAGAAAUAAGGUUUGAAAAGAAAGGGGACUUCUGUUAACAUUCUAUAUAAGAUUUGAAGCUAUAUAUCUUCCAAGCCCCAAACUGUACAAUAAAAGUUUUCUUGGAUACUACUUUUCUCCCAUAAUUCCUAGCACAUAGCUUAUUAAGUUAUUAACCAGCAAUUACUCUGGCAGCAUAUUAAACUUUACUUUUAAACAAGUCACAGAGGGAGGGAAAC
Molecule: long non-coding RNA, 588 nt
Filed under: Pan troglodytes (chimpanzee)
Lineage: Eukaryota; Metazoa; Chordata; Mammalia; Primates; Hominidae
Description: long non-coding RNA NONPTRT010458
Source: RNAcentral